AAUUUUCCGCAAUGGGCGCAAGCCUGACGGAGCAACGCCGCGUGAGGGAUGAAGGUUUUCGGAUCNUCAACCUCUGUCUUCGGGGANGAUAAUGACGGUACCUGAGGAGGAAGCCACGGCUAACUACGUGCCAGCAGCCGCGGUAAUACGUAGGUGGCGAGCGUUGUCCGGAAUUACUGGGCGUAAAGGGCGUGUAGGCGGGCUUUUAAGUCAGGUGUGAAAUCUCAGGGCUUAACCCUGAAGCUGCAUUUGAAACUGGAGGGCUUGAGGAUCGGAGAGGGCAGUGGAAUUCCCAGUGUAGCGGUGAAAUGCGUAGAUAUUGAGAGGAACACCAGUGGCGAAGGCGACUGCCUGGACGACACCUGACGCUGAGGCGCGAAAGCUAGGGUAGCGAAC
RNAcentral lists this ribosomal RNA (396 nucleotides) under uncultured bacterium. Its description in RNAcentral is "partial 16S ribosomal RNA". It matches the Rfam family "Bacterial small subunit ribosomal RNA", at positions 360 to 773 of the family's 1533-position model. The record is from RNAcentral.